AUUGAACGCUGGCGGCAUGCCUUACACAUGCAAGUCGAACGGCAGCACGGGUGCUUGCACCUGGUGGCGAGUGGCGAACGGGUGAGUAAUACAUCGGAACAUGUCCUGUAGUGGGGGAUAGCCCGGCGAAAGCCGGAUUAAUACCGCAUACGAUCUACGGAUGAAAGCGGGGGCCCUUCGGGCCUCGCGCUAUGGGGUUGGCCGAUGGCUGAUUAGCUAGUUGGUGGGGUAAAGGCCUACCAAGGCGACGAUCAGCAGCUGGUCUGAGAGGACGACCAGCCACACUGGGACUGAGACACGGCCCAGACUCCUACGGGAGGCAGCAGUGGGGAAUUUUGGACAAUGGGCGAAAGCCUGAUCCAGCAAUGCCGCGUGUGUGAAGAAGGCCUUCGGGUUGUAAAGCACUUUUGUCCGGAAAGAAAUCCUUGGCCCUAAUACGGUCGGGGGAUGACGGUACCGGAAGAAUAAGCACCGGCUAACUACGUG
This 486-nucleotide ribosomal RNA is filed under the name uncultured bacterium. RNAcentral's name for it is "partial 16S ribosomal RNA". It matches the Rfam family "Bacterial small subunit ribosomal RNA", at positions 30 to 507 of the family's 1533-position model. The record is from RNAcentral.